This 2670-nucleotide long non-coding RNA is filed under the name Mus musculus (house mouse). RNAcentral describes it as "long non-coding RNA chr5:28352909-28355579". The record is from RNAcentral. Lineage: Eukaryota; Metazoa; Chordata; Mammalia; Rodentia; Muridae.
AGUCGUUUUCUUUGAGAGUAUAUGACCUAACGCUACUCACCUUUGUGUCCUGUGUUCUUGACUGUACUAAGGUGGUAGCAGGGUCAUGCUUGGCUCUUCUCCUGGACUGUGUCCCUCAGGUAGCCAGUGCUAAAUUCUGGCCAUAUUGAUUUUAUUUUGUACUUGUAAUGUCCUUAUAGCCAUUCUUUUGGGUUUUCUCUACUUGUUCCUGGGUGGUCAGUGACUAGUUAACAGAGAUCAUUAACUGAAUGUCAGGUACCUACCGCUGAAGACCUUUCUCAGACUGUUGCUGGCUGAGAGCAUUAGCACUAAAACCCCUCUGUACACUCUGUGUCCUUUCCCACUGAUCAUUGGGUACAUAUUGGAGUGUCACAGUCACCCCAGAGCCUGGGAGUAUUACUUAGUGGUAGAAGAAGUAUCUGACUAGAGUGACCUGGGGCUUUGAAAGCGGUAUUGGAGCCACUAACAGCCCUUUUGAGACUUUAGUCCCAUGCAUUGCCCAGGAAGAUUGUAUUUUCAGUGUGUUACCAGGUUCUGCUUGGACUUUAGAAGAAAGGAGACCAACACAGUGUGGCUUUCUCAAGAGGAAAGCAAAGCUCAUCAGGGUCUACUUGCCUUUCUGUUUUGGUCUAGAUAAAAAUAAAGGUCAAAGCCUCAUUGCCUUGAUGGUCUGUCAGUCCCCCCUCCCCAUCCCCCUCCUCAACUCUCUCAUCUCUCUUUCUCUCUGUGAAUGUGUGUUUUUUAUUAAAUAAUUUAAAAAAAAAAUUUAUAUACAUUGGUGUUCUGCCUGCUUGUAUGUGUGUGAGGGUGUCAGAUCCCCUGGAACUGGAAUUACAGACAGUUAUGAGCUGCCAUGAGGGUGCAAGGAAUUAAACCCAGCUCCUCUGGAAGAACAGCUAGUGCUCCUUACUGCCGAGCCACCCUUUAUUGUUUUGAAACACCAUUGCUUAUAUUAGUUAUUGUUCUAUUGCUAUGACAAAAUGCCAUGAUCAAAAGGAACUUAAAAAAAAAGUAUUAUUGGGGUUAUAGUUUCAGAGGCUUUGAGUUCAUUGUGGCACAGCAAAGGUAUGGUAACAUGAAUUGUUACUUGAUCCACAAUGAGGGGCCAGAGAGAACAACACAGACACUGGGAAUGGUGUGAGUAGUCCGAAAACUCAAAUCCUGCCCCUAGUGACAUAUCUUUUCCAACAAGGCCACACCUACUAAUCCUUCCCAAAUAGUUCCACAAACUGGGACAAACAUUCAAAUAUAUGAACCUAUGUACCUUGGCAUUCAAGGCUUGGGGCUUGGCACCCUGGCUAGGAACAGUGAGGGAAUGAAGAAAGACAGACAAACAUAGUGAAACUGGGAGUCUAGCUAGUCUUGGUAGGAAGUCUGUAUAAGAGAGCAGUCUCAGGUUACAAACAUCUGGGAGGAGGAAGAAGCUGCUAGUCUUUGCCCACACUGACCAGUUGUCUAUAAGUGGACUCCUGACUCCAAGGAAAGCAUUGCCAUUCCUCUUGAGCCUGGUACAUAUGAGUGUAAUGAUUCAUGCCAAUUUCCCCUGGGUCAGUUGGCCUUGGAGUCCUCAAAAUGAUGGUGUACAUUACAAUAUUCCCUCAGGUCUUCACUCACUUGGGGUUCCCCCACUCCCUAACCUAUAAGGACCAUUCUCAUUCAAACCACAAUAUGCUUGCUUUUACUACUAAAGAGGAGCAAGCAGCAUGUAUCUUUCAGGGACACAUACAAAUUCUCCAGGUGGACACUAAGCUGCCUUCAUCCACUAACACAAAUUCUACACAUCACAGUUAUUAAUAUUCAUUGUAUCUCUCUGAGGAUGUGAGCAUGGCUGUUCUGGAUUGUUCUACUUGCCUGUAUUCAUAUUUUAGUUUGCCUCAUUUUACUUGCCUGUAUUCAUAUUUUAGUUUGGUCCAUCUUUUUUUUUUUUUUUUUUUUUUUUUACUCUUUUUCAGAGUCAUUUAUCCUUUCAUUUUUUUCUGACAGCUGUCAAAUCUGCUUUCUUUUCAAGGUACCUACCUGAUAGCUAUAACCAGCCUUCUCCAGAGACAAAAGGCUCGGAGGAUUGUUGUGUUAUAGACAAGUCAUAUCCCUGGAACUGGAAUCUUUAGGAGCAGUUCUGUAAGGGAAAUAAUUUGAUAAUGUAUUUUUCCUCUAAAAAGGAAUGAGUGCAUUUUUGUAGAAUGUGGUAUGUGGUAAUUUCACUAGGUAAUUGAACAAAAGAAAAAUGUUAAAAAUUCUUUUUUCUUUAUUUAGAGUUCUAAUUUAAGGAAGCAUAGUGUUUUGAAAAUUUACUAGUAAUUUCAUUCAAAGUUGGGUCAUUCUCAAUAUACAAAGGAUGUUACCACUCCUCAGAAGACUGGUUUCCUGAGAGAGGAAGCUUCCCGACAGGGCUUGUACAUUCCCAGAUGAUGGACAAAUAGAAAGCUUGGUGAGGAAGAUGGUGCCCUAGCCUUUGAGAGCUGGAAGUUUACAUGAGUGUUACCUGUAGGCUUGUUUUUGUGUGCCCAUUCCCAAGAUGAAGUUUAUUGGAUUGUAAAGCAGUUUGCCUGCUUUCAUACUGAGAUGAAAGCGUGUUUCUUCUAGAGUCCCUGUAUUCUCUAGUGAUGCAUAGCUUUUGAACAUUUGAUUUUUUUUGUCAUUCUGUCUACAAAUAAAAACUUAUAAUAAAUU